UGGAAACUUAUUGUUGAGUAAGUGGAUUGAAAAAAAAGAGAAGAUCUUCAUUCAUCAUUAGAAACCAGAACAAGUUCAACAUGCAGUAGGUCUAUAUAAGGAAUCUGUCAUCUGACACUGCACAUGGGAGCGUUGAUUUAGCAUAAGAAAGAGAAAAGGAGGAGUUAGUUAAAACCAAACCAGAAAACAUGGCUGUGAGGAAAAGCAGCAUGAUGCGUGUGGCCAAUAGGAGAAUGAGUGAUUUUGUGUGGGAGUUGCUUUAUAAAAGGAAAGGG
RNAcentral lists this long non-coding RNA (275 nucleotides) under Lupinus angustifolius (narrow-leaved blue lupine). RNAcentral describes it as "long non-coding RNA (LANG_LNC000321)". Lineage: Eukaryota; Viridiplantae; Streptophyta; Magnoliopsida; Fabales; Fabaceae. The record is from RNAcentral.